AGAGAAUAGAUACCCUGGUAGUCCAUGCUGUAAACGAUGAGAACUAGAUGUUAGGGGCAUGACCUCUUAGUAUCGAAGCUAACGCGAUAAGUUCUCCGCCUGGGGAGUACGGCCGCAAGGUUAAAACUCAAAGAAAUUGACGGGGGCCCGCACAAGCGGUGGAGCAUGUGGUUUAAUUCGAUGCAACGCGAAGAACCUUACCUACCUUUGAAUCCACGGAACCUAGCAGAGAUGUUGGGGUGCCUUCGGGAACCGUGAGACAGGUGCUGCAUGGCUGUCGUCAGCUCGUGUCGUGAGAUGUUGG
This 304-nucleotide ribosomal RNA is filed under the name uncultured bacterium. Its description in RNAcentral is "bacterial SSU rRNA". It matches the Rfam family "Bacterial small subunit ribosomal RNA", at positions 774 to 1078 of the family's 1533-position model. The record is from RNAcentral.